Cucumis sativus (cucumber) is the source of this 98-nucleotide non-coding RNA. Lineage: Eukaryota; Viridiplantae; Streptophyta; Magnoliopsida; Cucurbitales; Cucurbitaceae. The record is from Rfam.
CUCAUGGCAAGGGUGAUGAUUCAAUUAGAUGUGUGAAAGGAUUAAUCCUUUCUGAACUUAACUUUUUGAGGCAUUUUCAUUUGUCUGACUUGCCCGAG